This 1818-nucleotide unclassified non-coding RNA is filed under the name Hevea brasiliensis (rubber tree). Lineage: Eukaryota; Viridiplantae; Streptophyta; Magnoliopsida; Malpighiales; Euphorbiaceae. The record is from RNAcentral.
GUUUUAGACAAAGUAACCAUAGAAGACGCUAUAAAUAUGAAUGAGAUAACAAUGGUUGUCAAACAAGUUAGUUCCUGUUGACUUAUGAGUGAUAAGAGAUCUUUGAGAUUGCUUUUGGAUAUGGAAUUUGAAAUUUAAAAAUUUAAAUUUGAGUAUUUAGUUUAAAAUAUACGCAGAUUAAGAUUUAAGCUUGUUGGAAGGGGGGAAAAUGCGUCAAAUGGAUCUUAAGAGUCUGUAUUUGAAAUCACACUCUUUAAGUGGUUGGUUAAAGUUCAUACUUGAAUAAUUUUUAAUCCACAUUCAUGUAUUGGGAAUUUUAUUCAAGUAUUUUAAACUAAAACACCAGGUGUAAUGUGUUUCAAAAAAAAAACACCAGGUGUAAAUUCCAUUAUAUCUGCCACAUCCAAAUGCAAUGUGAGAUGAUCUGAAGAAUAUAGAAAAAAAAUGAAGUCAGUGCUGCUCUUUAGGGAUUGUACAAGGAGGGGGUUCAUGUAAUGAAAUGGUAUUGUUGCAUCAACCAUCAAGUAAUGAAAGAUAGAAUUUGAGAGACAUGAGAAGAGGGGAAUCUUUAGUGAGCUUAAAUGCUGUGAGGUAGGCGAGGAGAAUUGCAGAACGAUGCGUGUGUAAUGUAGGAUUCUCAUUUGUAAGGAAAUAUUCUAGGUCAGGCAAAUGGUGGCAUAAAGAAAAGGUAUGGAAUUGAUGUUGUUGUGGAACUCCUGGAUAUUGGGCUUGACUGGGUUGAGGAUCUCCUGAAAAUCAAAUAAUGGUUGAGGGUCGGUGGUGGUUGUUAACCAUUCCGACGCUCAAGUUAGUAACUCAAUUGUGGUUAGAAUAUCCGUAUGAUGAGAGUGAACUUUGUUUGCAUACUUGUUUCUGAUGCUUGACCUUGUUUGAUAUAGUGAUUGGGAUGGUAACUAUAUGAGAUCUUGGCUGGAUAUUCGCUGAUCCUCUAUUUAAGUUGUAAUAGUAACUAUUUUAAAAUUAUGCUGAGAAUUAGGCAUAAUCAGUAGCGUGAUCUUUGUUUAGCCCGAGUUCAAUGAGAGCGCCGAACUCUAAUCUAUCCGAUCUCUUUAGAAUGGAGCGGAAUGAUAUUAGAGUUCUCCUUGGUGUUCGGUCUCCUAGGGUGUUAGGCUAUGAGAUCGGAAGGACCGAGCUUUGCCUGGCUCCGAGCUCGGAUAGGCGGCCCGCCCGGUUCAAGCUCAGGUGGACGACCUCUAACUGGGUCGGUUUUACUAGCCUUUUAUAUCAGGAACCUUAAGGAUUUCUCAAGAAGAAAGUCUGCAGGGAGAUUCAAGAAAAGAAAAAAGGUAUAAAGUCCAAAAUGAGUUGAAUGUCCCUAAAAGAAGAGGGGCAAGUGAUUGAAUUGCACAAGGACGGCCAUCAUCUAAUUGAAUGACACCUCACUCAAUGCCAAUGUCAUAACAUUACUUAAGAGUUCUUGUGGCUAAUAUUCUACUAGGAACAUAUUUCUUUGAAUGAUGAGUCCCCUGCAAAUAUUACAUGUAGCAACUGAUGAGUUGUUUUGACAUUUCUCAUUCACUGAAAUUGGCGUGUCUUCUUUUGGCCUAUUGUGUUGAUUAAACCUCUUGGGACCUGUAGAAUAGCAUAUCAUUACCAUCGCUUGCGAUAUCAUAGUUCACUAUUUAGACAAUUAUGUCCUUGAUUAUUUCUUUUUACUGUCAGUAUGCCAACCUUCUGGUUGUUCUUGCUCAACCGUGAAUUGAUAAUUUGAUAUGAUAGUGGGUUAACUUGUUAUGCUCUCACAUAUUAUCCAAUGCAUGAUAUUUUUCUGUACUGAACUUACUUUUGAUUGUCACA